Molecule: long non-coding RNA, 1284 nt
Filed under: Chrysolophus pictus (golden pheasant)
Lineage: Eukaryota; Metazoa; Chordata; Aves; Galliformes; Phasianidae
Description: lncRNA (ENSCPIG00010013980.1)
Source: RNAcentral
AUGACAAAUGAAGAAAAACAUGGCAAUUUGGAGAGGACUUUGCAGAAGAGAUCACAAAUGCACUGGCAUCACAAAAAUAAGGACAGAGAGGAUCAGACGCCCCAGAGAGAAGACUGUGAAAAUCUAGAAAAUAAAGAAAAUAGUGAAAUGUCUUUGUGCCUUGCUACUCAACAGAAGUCUUCACCUAGUAGCAGUAUGUCCUUUGAAACCACUCGGAAUCUGAAGAUCAAAGAUGACACUUCUCACUUAGCAGUAACUCAAUCCACUAACAGACUUCAGGAUCAUCAAAAGCAAGUCAUUAACACAGUACACUUUCCGGGCAAAUUCUCAGACAGCGAGGACUUCUUGAUCAAAUAUAGUGACAUUGUCAUAAGACAAACGCCUAUUUUCAGUGAGAAUCUUUCUCCAGAAGCUUUUGAAAAAAAGCCAAGAGCCAGUCUAAGCAAGGAAUGUGUUUUGGCAGCCACUGCCCAGUCAACUGCAAAUGAGCCCUGGUCGGUGCCACUCUCGCCAGGAGCAAGCGGUCCUCCAGCCUUUGCAAUAUUUGCUGACAGCACUUGUGGCAGUAAAAGCUCUUUGGAGUACGAAGCUCAACAAGUCGCUGAAGAGUCCAUUGAAGCAAAAAUUAACGAUGCCAUAAACUGCGUAGACCCAGACCCUGCAGACAAACCCAAUGAGCUGAAGUCUCUGCCAUACACAGAUAUCACAUCUGUCCAAAACUGCCCUGUCCCUAGGGAAGAUGAAGUCUGUGAUCUGUCUUUAACCUUCACAAAGCUACAAGUCAAGGACGCUCAGGAAGAUCUGAUGUAUCCAAUAGAGGAAACUGGGCACCCUGAGUCACUAUCAUAUGCAAGUGACAGGAAUGUAAGAGAACUGAAUCAUUCCAAGAUGAAAUGCACAUACUCAACUAAUGCUGAAAUGCAGAACAGAGCAGCUGCAUUUAUUGAGCCAUCUCCGGAUCUGUGCUGUACUACUGAGAGCAUGGAGGAUCCCACUAGUGGCUCUGAAGGCAAGGGACUAUUAAUGGGUACUCCCAAUGCACAUAGGGCUUCUGAGUGCUUCAGGCACAUCAGAGAGCCUCCUAAUCCCACCUACAUUCCACCACGAAGUAUUGAUGUUCGUUCUCCAAGCAGAAGAAGCACCGGUGCACAGGGCAGAAGGAACCUUCUGCAGCCUGACAGUGAAUCCAGUGAAGUAAAACCAGAGAACUAUAAUUUAAAAGUAAAUGAAAUCCAGGAGCCUUACGUUAUUAUUGACAAAACUGACCAAGGAAUGUUGUGCUAG